This 254-nucleotide ribosomal RNA is filed under the name uncultured bacterium. RNAcentral's name for it is "partial 16S ribosomal RNA". It matches the Rfam family "Bacterial small subunit ribosomal RNA", at positions 524 to 776 of the family's 1533-position model. The record is from RNAcentral.
GACGAACCGAGCGAACGUUGUUCGGAAUCACUGGGCUUAAAGGGCGCGUAGGCGGGUGCUCAAGUCCGUGGUGAAAUCCUCCGGCUCAACCGGAGAACUGCCUCGGAUACUGGGCGUCUCGAGUGUGGUAGGGGUAUGCGGAACUAUCGGUGGAGCGGUGAAAUGCGUUGAUAUCGAUAGGAACUCCGGUGGCGAAGGCGGCAUACUGGACCACCACUGACGCUGAGGAGCGAAAGCGUGGGGGAGCGAACAGG